Molecule: ribosomal RNA, 691 nt
Filed under: uncultured soil bacterium
Lineage: Bacteria
Description: bacterial SSU rRNA
Rfam family: Bacterial small subunit ribosomal RNA
Source: RNAcentral
GGGGUAUUUAUCUUCGGAUAGAGAGACCGGCGCACGGGUGCGUAACGCGUAUGCAAUCUACCUUUUACAGAGGGAUAGCCCAGAGAAAUUUGGAUUAAUACCUCAUAGUAUUACGAAAUGGCAUCAUUUUGUAAUUAAAGUCACAACGGUAAAAGAUGAGCAUGCGUCCCAUUAGCUAGUUGGUAAGGUAACGGCUUACCAAGGCUACGAUGGGUAGGGGUCCUGAGAGGGAGAUCCCCCACACUGGUACUGAGACACGGACCAGACUCCUACGGGAGGCAGCAGUGAGGAAUAUUGGACAAUGGGCGCAGGCCUGAUCCAGCCAUGCCGCGUGCAGGAUGACGGUCCUAUGGAUUGUAAACUGCUUUUAUACGAGAAGAAACACUACUUCGUGAAGUAGCUUGACGGUAUCGUAAGAAUAAGGAUCGGCUAACUCCGUGCCAGCAGCCGCGGUAAUACGGAGGAUCCAAGCGUUAUCCGGAAUCAUUGGGUUUAAAGGGUCCGUAGGCGGUUUAAUAAGUCAGUGGUGAAAGCCCAUCGCUCAACGGUGGAACGGCCAUUGAUACUGUUAAACUUGAAUUAUUAGGAAGUAACUAGAAUAUGUAGUGUAGCGGUGAAAUGCUUAGAGAUUACAUGGAAUACCAAUUGCGAAGGCAGGUUACUACUAAUGGAUUGACGCUGAUGGACGAAA